UCAGGUCCUUUGGAAGAGCAGCCAGUGCU
RNAcentral lists this non-coding RNA (29 nucleotides) under Rattus norvegicus (Norway rat). The record is from RNAcentral. Lineage: Eukaryota; Metazoa; Chordata; Mammalia; Rodentia; Muridae.